Osmerus eperlanus (European smelt) is the source of this 134-nucleotide small nucleolar RNA. RefSeq annotates it as small nucleolar RNA SNORA69. The transcript has a single exon. Lineage: Eukaryota; Metazoa; Chordata; Actinopteri; Osmeriformes; Osmeridae. The record is from RefSeq and is a predicted model, not a curated record.
AAAGCAGGUCUGCAAUUACAGUACUUCAAAUGUGUGGGAGUAUUGUCAUUAAUCCUGCUGAGAGUAAAAUUCUGCUGUGGAGUAUUUAUACCUGGUCACAUUACUGAUGAGGAUGCUCUGUGGUAGUGACACUA